ACAGUACCCCCCAAGUCUGCGGGAGUGAACGCUCCGUAUAUCCUGGAACGAAGCCGCAGGUGGACGCGGGACCGGUGCGUGGGAAUGCCCUGCCGCAAGAAGCCCCCGCCCCUGGCCCAGACUUCUGGAAGUGCCAGAGUCUUCCCUGGAAAGAGGGCAGGCUGACCCCUGGGCCCCCACCGCUGUCAGGACGGGUCAGCUGCCGGGUUGCAGGGCAUGCCGUUUUCUCUUCUCUGUCUGCACUGAUUCACACCGGGGUGGAAGCUCUCUGUGUCUUUCCCACUUGUUUCCAAAGAUGAAGGGGACGAGGUGAUGAAGGCUCCUGGGAGGUAAAGGUGGAGACAGCUGAGAAAAGCCACGCUGGGCCCACUCAGCAUGGUGGGGUCUACGGACACAGGUGUAGGGGCUGGAGCCCACCUCCUGUUUGUGCGAGGGGGACAGGCUGGCCAGGCUCCGGGAUUCUCUGUUGGCGGGGUCUACAUCUGUGGAGGCUGUGCCUGGGGGUGGCAGCCUGCUGAGGUGGGCUGAGCCAAAGGGUGGCCUCUCCACUGCGCAUUUGCCCUCAGAAACUGCCGCAGGGCAGGGUCUGAAGCAUGGCCUGGAGGGCCUGAUGGCAUCUCCCAGCCAGGUGCUCCCUCUUCACAACUUCAGGCCUGACCUCGGUCAGCUCCCUGGCUGCUGGGAGAGGCCUGUUGAGUUGCCUGUCCUACUCAGAGUCUUGGGGUAUGGCUGGGUGGGUCCCCACCCCACUGUGGCCGGGGGGGGGGGGGGGGGCCCCGCGCGGGCGACGGGGGGGGCCCCGCCUCCCUCCUCCCCAGUGGCCCAUCACGACCUGGACAACACACUCAACUGCAGCUUCCUGGAGCCGCCCUCGGGGCUGGAGCAGCCCUCACCAUCAUGGUCCUCCCGGGCCUCCUUCUCCUCCUUUGAUACCACGGAUGAAGGCCCCGUGUACUGCGUACCCCACGAGGAGGCGGCCGCCGAGAGCCGGGAUUCG
Molecule: long non-coding RNA, 997 nt
Filed under: Ovis aries (sheep)
Lineage: Eukaryota; Metazoa; Chordata; Mammalia; Artiodactyla; Bovidae
Description: lncRNA (ENSOARG00000025719.1)
Source: RNAcentral